Thalassophryne amazonica is the source of this 120-nucleotide long non-coding RNA. RefSeq lists it as uncharacterized. NCBI's taxonomy places the organism in Eukaryota, Metazoa, Chordata, Actinopteri, Batrachoidiformes, Batrachoididae. The record is from RefSeq and is a predicted model, not a curated record. The transcript is spliced from 3 exons.
UCAGGUGCAUCCUGUUUCCACCGAUCAUCCGUGAGAUCUUUCUACAGCUUCAUCGGAGUCUACUUGCAGUAAAUUAAGUUGAUUGGACAUGAUUUGGAAAGGCACACACCUGUCCACAUA